GUCGAGCGGAUGAAUAGAACUUGCUCUCUGAUUCAGCGGCGGACGGGGGAAUCAUGCCUAGAAAUCUGCCUGAUACUGGGGGACAACGUUUCAAAAGGAUCGCUAAUACCCCAUACGUCCAACUGGAGAAAUCGGGGCACCUUCCGGCCUAGCGCUAUCAUAUGAGCCUAAGGCGGAUUAACUACUUGGAGAGGUAAUGGCUCACCAAGGCUACUAUCCGUAACUGGUCUGAAAGGAUGAUCCAUCACACUGGAACUGACACACGGUCCAGACUCCUACGGGAGGCAGCAGUGGGGAAUAUUGGACAAUGGGCGAAAGCCUGAUCCCUCCAUGCCGCGUGUGUGAAGAAGGUCUUCGGAUUGUGACGCACUUUAAGUUGGGAGGAAGGGCAUUAACCUAAUACGUUAGUGUUUUGACGUUACCGACAGUUUAAGCACCGGCUAACUUCGUGCCAUAAGCCGCGGUAAUACGAAGGGUGCAAGCGUUAAUCAAAAUUACUGGGCGUCCCUGGCGCUGCCUUGGUUUGUUAAGUUGAAUGUGAAAGCCCCGGGCUCAACCUGGCAACUGCAUCCGGUACUGGCAAGCUAUAUUAUGGCAGAGGGUGGUGGAAUUUCCUGUGUACUGGUGAAAUGCUUACAUAUGAGGUGGAACACCUGUGGCGAAGGCGACCACCUGGGCUAAUACUGACACUGACGUGCAAAAGCGUGGCGAGAAAACAGGAUUAGAUACUCUGGUAGUCCACGCCGUAAACAAUGUCGACUAGCCUGUGGGAUCCUUGAGAUCUUAUUGGCGUACCUAGCACUUUAAGUCGACCGCCUGGGCAGUACGAGCCCAAGGUUAAAACUCAAAUGAAUUGACGGGCGCCCGCACACGCGGUGUACCAUGUGGUUAUCUUCGAAGAUACUUUCCUAACCUUAGCUGGCCUUGACAUGCGUAACUUUGCCUGAUAUGCAUCUGGU
Molecule: ribosomal RNA, 959 nt
Filed under: gamma proteobacterium BAL512
Lineage: Bacteria; Pseudomonadati; Pseudomonadota; Gammaproteobacteria
Description: bacterial SSU rRNA
Rfam family: Bacterial small subunit ribosomal RNA
Source: RNAcentral